Molecule: ribosomal RNA, 531 nt
Filed under: Klebsiella pneumoniae
Lineage: Bacteria; Pseudomonadati; Pseudomonadota; Gammaproteobacteria; Enterobacterales; Enterobacteriaceae
Description: bacterial SSU rRNA
Rfam family: Bacterial small subunit ribosomal RNA
Source: RNAcentral
CAUGAGCGCUGGCGGCAGGCCUAACACAUGCAAGUCGAGCGGUAGCACAGAGAGCUUGCUCUCGGGUGACGAGCGGCGGACGGGUGANUAAUGUCUGGGAAACUGCCUGAUGGAGGGGGAUAACUACUGGAAACGGUAGCUAAUACCGCAUANNGUCGCAGGACCAAAGUGGGGGACCUUCCGGCCUCAUGCCAUCAGAUGUGCCUAGAUGGGAUUAGCUAGUAGGUGGGGUAACGGCUCACCUAAGCAACCAUCCCUAGCUGGUCUGAGAGGAUGACCACCCACACUGGAACUGAGACACGGUCCACACUCCUACGGGAGGCAGCAGUGGGNAAUAUUGCACAAUGGGCGCAAGCCUGAUGCAUCCAUGCCGCGUGUAUGAAGACUGCCUUCUGGUUGUAAAGUACUUUCAGCGGGGAGGAAGGCGAUAAGGUUAAUAACCUUGUCGAUUGACGUUGCCCGCAAAGAAGCACCGGCUAACUUCCUGCCAGCCGCCGCGGUAAUACGGAGGGUGCGAGUCGUUUAUCGUAA